Molecule: ribosomal RNA, 207 nt
Filed under: uncultured bacterium
Lineage: Bacteria
Description: partial 16S ribosomal RNA
Rfam family: Bacterial small subunit ribosomal RNA
Source: RNAcentral
CGGACUGUAGGCUGCAACUCGCCUACACGAAGUCGGAAUCGCUAGUAAUCGCGGAUCAGCAUGCCGCGGUGAAUACGUUCCCGGGCCUUGUACACACCGCCCGUCACACCAUGGAGUUUGUAACGCCCAAAGUCGGCGGCCUAACCUUUAUGGAGGGAGCCGCCUAAGGCGGGACAGAUGACUGGGGUGAAGUCGUAACAAGGUAUC